UUUCGCAAUGCCCGAAAGGGUGACGAAGCGACGCCGCGUGGGUGAGGAAGGCCUUCGGGUUGUAAAGCCCUGUCAGGAGUUAUGAAAUGUAAGUGCGCUAAUAUCGUGCUUAUUUGACAAAGGCUCCAAAGGAAGCCACGGCUAACUCUGUGCCAGCAGCCGCGGUAAUACAGAGGUGGCGAGCGUUGUUCGGAAUUAUUGGGCGUAAAGAGCACGUAGGUGGGUUUGCAAGUCAGAUGUGAAAGCCUUCUGUUCAACGGAAGAAUUGCAUCUGAAACUGCUAAUCUUAAGUAUAGGAGGGGAGAAUGGAACUUCUGGUGGAGCGGUGAAAUGCGUAGAUAUCAGAAGGAACGCCGGCGGCGAAAGCGAUUCUCUGGCCUAUUACUGACACUCAGUGUGCGAAAGCUAGGGGAGCAAACGGGAUUAGAUACCCCGGUAGUCCUAGCCGUAAACGAUGGGCACUAAGUAGAGGGGUUUUA
RNAcentral lists this ribosomal RNA (479 nucleotides) under uncultured anaerobic ammonium-oxidizing bacterium. RNAcentral describes it as "bacterial SSU rRNA". It matches the Rfam family "Bacterial small subunit ribosomal RNA", at positions 364 to 833 of the family's 1533-position model. The record is from RNAcentral.